This 253-nucleotide ribosomal RNA is filed under the name uncultured bacterium. RNAcentral describes it as "partial 16S ribosomal RNA". It matches the Rfam family "Bacterial small subunit ribosomal RNA", at positions 524 to 776 of the family's 1533-position model. The record is from RNAcentral.
GAUGUAGGGCGCGAGCGUUGUCCGGAUUUACUGGGCGUAAAGCGCACGUAGGCGGAUUUGUAAGUCAGGGGUGAAAUCCCGGGGCUCAACCUCGGAACUGCCUUUGAUACUGCAAAUCUCGAGUCCGGAAGAGGUGAGUGGAAUUCCUAGUGUAGAGGUGAAAUUCGUAGAUAUUAGGAAGAACACCAGUGGCGAAGGCGGCUCACUGGUCCGGUACUGACGCUGAGGUGCGAAAGCGUGGGGAGCAAACAGG